Long non-coding RNA from Stegostoma tigrinum, 515 nucleotides. RefSeq lists it as uncharacterized. The record is from RefSeq and is a predicted model, not a curated record. NCBI's taxonomy places the organism in Eukaryota, Metazoa, Chordata, Chondrichthyes, Orectolobiformes, Stegostomatidae. The transcript has 3 exons.
GUUAAUAUCCAACAAUAAAGUUCCCGAUUGCUAACCCGUUCCCCUAGUAGCUGAGUGGCCCUUUGACAGAGUGAUCGUACCUAAGCUAUGUGAAGACUUGGUGGGAAGAGAAGACCCAGAAGUAAAAAGGGAGAACAGGAUGGAGGCCAUCAAGGCUAUGCUUCCAUAUAAACAAUGGCUGACUGUUUCAUCAUUCCUAUGGCUCAUUUCCCUCCAACACAUCAAAGAAAAGAAAACAAAUGCAGGAUGCUUACUCCCUUUAAAUAAUGUUAGGACACACCAUCUUUCAAGUCUUCUAUUAUUUCUGGGACCUUGUACCAAUACAGGAAUGUUUGCUGUUACAGUCCUUGUCCGGUUCAGCUCAUUAUUUACUUAAGGGGGAAGUCAACUAUAGGAGGAGACAUCUGAAUGAAUCCACCGUCAAGCCGUCCCUGGCAUUCUUAUUUACCUGGCACUGUAUUAGUAAUUGUGUUGAAUAAACUGAAGACUAAAUAAAGAUUAACUGAAAAAUUCCU